This 624-nucleotide ribosomal RNA is filed under the name Arceuthobium verticilliflorum. Its description in RNAcentral is "partial ribosomal RNA". The stretch from base 218 to 376 matches the Rfam family "5.8S ribosomal RNA". The record is from RNAcentral. Lineage: Eukaryota; Viridiplantae; Streptophyta; Magnoliopsida; Santalales; Viscaceae.
AUUGUCGUGCUUUAAAGGAUGAAUGACAAGUCACAAGUUAAACUAUCCUAGAUCUCUGAUCUAGUGGGACAUUUGGCACAUUGUCAGUGAUAUGUGUUCGCUUGUUUCCAUAAUAAAUUGGCACGGAAUGUGGCAAGGAAUAUAAAAUAAUGUUCCUCCUUUAAAUGCGAUACCUUGUUAUUUUUUGUAAAGGUGGAGAUUUAAUCAAUAAUUAAAUGACUCCCAACAAUGGAUAUCUUGACUCUCGUAUCGAUGAAGAACGUAGCAAAAUGCGAUACUUGGUGUGAAUUGCAGAAUCCCGUGAAUCAUCGARUYUUUGAACGCAMGUUGCGCCUAAGGCCAAUUAUAGGUUUAGGGCAUGCUUGCUUGGGCGUCGUUUACUAAGCCGCGUCAAUAUCUUUUUCAAGAUAUAUUGAUGGAUGGGUAUUUGAUUGUGGAUAUUGUUCUUUCGUUCACUAGAUUGUGUGCGGUUGGAUGAAAUAUUAUUGUAUUUGAUGCCAAAUGUCUUACAUGUUUUGGUUAACAUUGUAUGAUAUUAAUGUUAUCGGGUAAAGCUAAAAUCCAAAUAGAAUUUCAAUCUCAUUCUCGUAAAAUGAGAGAAACCUUUUGACCUCAGGUCAAGCA